AAGCCACGCCCAGGCUCCUUGCUGUCUCCUUCUUGCUCACACACCAAAUACUGUUUCAGUUUCCACACAGGCCUCAACUCUCUCACACACUGACAAGACGCUAGCCAGAUUAAUACUGAUAGAUGCUGGUAGGGAGAGGCAGAAUUUCCCUCCCUUAUUUUCCUCUCCAAAAACUAAGCCCAACCACAUAGUUUUAUAAAAAAGCAGUAUGAU
Notechis scutatus (mainland tiger snake) is the source of this 213-nucleotide non-coding RNA. The record is from RefSeq and is a predicted model, not a curated record. NCBI's taxonomy places the organism in Eukaryota, Metazoa, Chordata, Lepidosauria, Squamata, Elapidae.